CCUACGGGAGGCAGCAGUAGGGAAUCUUCCGCAAUGGACGAAAGUCUGACGGAGCAACGCCGCGUGAACGAUGAAGGCCUUCGGGUCGUAAAGUUCUGUUGUUAGGGAAGAACAAGUGCUAGUUAAAUAAGCUGGCACCUUGACGGUACCUAACCAGAAAGCCACGGCUAACUACGUGCCAGCAGCCGCGGUAAUACGUAGGUGGCAAGCGUUGUCCGGAAUUAUUGGGCGUAAAGCGCGCGCAGGCGGUUUCUUAAGUCUGAUGUGAAAGCCCCCGGCUCAACCGGGGAGGGUCAUUGGAAACUGGGAAACUUGAGUGCAGAAGAGGAAAGUGGAAUUCCAAGUGUAGCGGUGAAAUGCGUAGAGAUUUGGAGGAACACCAGUGGCGAAGGCGACUUUCUGGUCUGUAACUGACGCUGAGGCGCGAAAGCGUGGGGAGCAAACAGGAUUAGAUACCCUGGUAGUCCACGCUGUAAACGAUGAGUGCUAAGUGUUAGAGGGUUUCCGCCUUUAGUGCUGAAGUUAACGCAUUAAGCACUCCGCCUGGGGAUACGGUCGCAAGACUGAAACUCAAAUGAAUUGACGGCNGAGAGNGCGAGACGACGACGAGGGAGAG
Molecule: ribosomal RNA, 616 nt
Filed under: uncultured bacterium
Lineage: Bacteria
Description: bacterial SSU rRNA
Rfam family: Bacterial small subunit ribosomal RNA
Source: RNAcentral